ACGCUGGUCACGUGAUCUGCUAAAAUCUUGCAGAUUUUUAUUUAGCUAGUUAAUUAGAAAUCUGCUAGAUUUUAGCAGAUCACGUGACCAGGGU
Non-coding RNA from Paramuricea clavata, 94 nucleotides. The record is from the annotation of a GenBank genome assembly. Lineage: Eukaryota; Metazoa; Cnidaria; Anthozoa; Malacalcyonacea; Plexauridae.